RNAcentral lists this ribosomal RNA (253 nucleotides) under uncultured bacterium. Its description in RNAcentral is "partial 16S ribosomal RNA". It matches the Rfam family "Bacterial small subunit ribosomal RNA", at positions 524 to 776 of the family's 1533-position model. The record is from RNAcentral.
UACGUAGGGGGCGAGCGUUGUCCGGAUUCAUUGGGCGUAAAGAGCUCGUAGGCGGCUGUUCAAGUCGAUUGUGAAAACUCGGAGCUCAACUCCGAGCCUGCGUUCGAUACUGGCGAUCUCGAGUUCGGGAGAGGUGAGUGGAACUGCGAGUGUAGAGGUGAAAUUCGUAGAUAUUCGCAAGAACACCAGUGGCGAAGGCGGCUCACUGGCCCGGUACUGACGCUGAGGCACGAAAGCGUGGGGAGCAAACAGG